RNAcentral lists this ribosomal RNA (253 nucleotides) under Oscillospiraceae bacterium. RNAcentral's name for it is "partial 16S ribosomal RNA". It matches the Rfam family "Bacterial small subunit ribosomal RNA", at positions 524 to 776 of the family's 1533-position model. Lineage: Bacteria; Bacillati; Bacillota; Clostridia; Eubacteriales; Oscillospiraceae. RNAcentral also lists the same sequence under 1 other name. The record is from RNAcentral.
UACGUAGGUGGCGAGCGUUGUCCGGAAUUACUGGGUGUAAAGGGCGUGUAGGCGGGACUGCAAGUCAGAUGUGAAAUUCUUGGGCUUAACCCAAGCACUGCAUCUGAAACUGUAGUUCUUGAGUGCUGGAGAGGAUAGUGGAAUUCCUAGUGUAGCGGUGAAAUGCGUAGAUAUUAGGAGGAACACCAGUGGCGAAGGCGGCUAUCUGGACAGUAACUGACGCUGAGGCGCGAAAGCGUGGGGAGCAAACAGG